GUAGGUGGCAAGCGUUGUCCGGGAAUUAUUGGGGCGCAAAGCGCGCGCAGGCGGUUCUUUAAGUCUGAUGUGAAAGCCCACGGGCUCAACCGUGGAGGGUCAUUGGAAACUGGAGAACUUGAGUACAGAAGAGGAAAGCGGAAUUCCACGUGUAGCGGUGAAAUGCGUAGAGAUGUGGAGGAACACCAGUGGCGAAGGCGGCUUUCUGGUCUGUAACUGACGCUGAGGCGCGAAAGCGUGGGGAGCAAACAGGAUUAGAUACCCUGGUAGUCCACGCCGUAAACGAUGAGUGCUAAGUGUUAGGGGGUUUCCGCCCCUUAGUGCUGCAGCUAACGCAUUAAGCACUCCGCCUGGGGAGUACGGCCGCAAAGGCUG
RNAcentral lists this ribosomal RNA (375 nucleotides) under uncultured organism. Its description in RNAcentral is "partial 16S ribosomal RNA". It matches the Rfam family "Bacterial small subunit ribosomal RNA", at positions 527 to 896 of the family's 1533-position model. The record is from RNAcentral.